Molecule: long non-coding RNA, 18732 nt
Filed under: Vitis vinifera (wine grape)
Lineage: Eukaryota; Viridiplantae; Streptophyta; Magnoliopsida; Vitales; Vitaceae
Description: long non-coding RNA (VVIN_LNC002217)
Source: RNAcentral
GCCAAAUUCUUCCAUUUCAGGGCAUUGUUUUUAAUCUCUUUUAAUCCAUCACUUCCCAUCACUUUCCCUAUGCAAUCCUCCAGGACUUCUCUUCUCACAAUCCCCUUGUCGUCCGCUCGAGCUCUUAAUCCUACCCCGCAAACAUCUUCAACAAACUUGGCGUUGGUGGGUUGAUCAAUCCAUAGAGGGGCAACCACCAUUGGAACUCCCAGGCUGAGUGCCUCCAGAGUGGAGUUCCAACCGCCAUGGGUGAGGAAGCAUCCUAUCGCCCUGUGUGCUAAAACCUCCAGCUGAGGACACCAUGAUACCACCAGGCCCUUCUCUGCUGUCUCCUCCUUGAACUUUUGAGGCAGUUUGGCCUGCUCAGAUUCCCUGACCACCAUCAAGAAGUAGGCAUUGCUCCUCCUCAAACCCCAAGCUAAUUCCUCCAUUUGCUCGGGUUCUAGCUUUGCGAAGCUCCCGUAUGAGGCGUAAACAACGGAUCCAUUAGGCUUACUGUCAAGCCAUUCCAUGCAGGCACCUGUGACUGGCUUGAGCAUGUUAAGGCCAUAGUCUUUGUCAUCUCCAAGCCGUUUAUCUAAGUAAGCAGAGGGAAGGGUUGGGCCGAUUGUCCUGAGCGGACAGAUCUUCGCCAUCCAAUCCACCACCUGGGGAUUCAAUGGCAAACUUAGAUUAACAAAAGAGUAUCAAAUGCUUAAUUUGACCCAAAAGAUUAAGCCAUUAGCUAUUGGGUCGAUCAUCUCAAACAGGACUUUUCCUUACCCUGAUAAACCUUUUAUUUGACCCAAAAGAGAAACUAUGAAGUAAUGAGUCAAUAAAUGUCUCAACCUAAAAGCUUAAGCUCCAGCAGGGACUUUUCCUUCUAACAUCGUCCUCCUUUUUAAUAGGAAAAGCUUAAACUGUUAGAUAAUAAGUACCCUAGAAUGUACAUGUAGCCAACUUAGAUGAAGUACCUUACCUUUUCCUCUAACUUGUAGAAGGUGUUGCAGAACACCCAGUCUACCUUCUCAAUAUUGGAGAACUGAUUCACAAGCAUGUUGAAGAAAUCCGGGUAGGAGCCAUAAAGAUAAACAAGAGAUGGCAGGUCACAGGCUUGAAGAGGGAACAAUCCAGGAACCACAACUUCAGGCUCUGAAAGAGGAAGCGUGAGCAUACCCUGGUGGACAUGGUAGUAUAUGUUGUUGACCGUACAAGACUGAGUGAAAAACACAGCCCCCACAAGCCCAAACUUCUUGGCAACAUCAAGAGCCCAAGGCAAGAAUGCAUCAUACACAACACAAUCAACUGGACACCCUGAGCUUUUGAGCUUCUCAAUGAGGCUGCCCAGGGUUUCUGAGCCAACCACCCGAAACCGCUCCAUGUAGGCGCCACCACUUUCCGCUUGGGCGAAGCCACCUUCAUCAUAUCCAUCAGAGAUGGUCUCAAUGGUGAUGGGACCGGAGUCUCCGAGCAAGGACUUGGAGAUAAAGCAUGUAGGAACCAGUGUGACUUUGGCCCCAUUGUGUACCAAACGCUUGGAGAAUUGGAGCAUAGGGUUUAUGUGGCCUUGGCUUGGAUAUGGGAGGACUAUGCAGUGAGAUUUGUGGGUUCUCUUCUCCUUCUCCAUAUUCCUUCAAAUCUUCACACACUCUUGAGCUCUUGCUCUCUUCUUGUUUUACUUAUAAAUGGAAAAUCAUCCCUCCAACCAUGGGUUUUUUUUUUUUUUGGUUUUCCUAAUCAAAGAAUUGAAUCUCAUUUUCUACUUAAAAGAGCUCAAAAUGCAAGGUCAAAGAUAAGCAUACAAUAGAAUGAGAUCCAAACUUGAGUAAUUAUUAAUUUAUAUAUAUAUAUAUAUAUAUAUAUAUAUAUAUAUAUAACUUUUCCAUAAAAUGCAACAUUUAGUAUAUUAAUUUUAUAUUCCAGCUAUAUAUUUAAAGUGUUCCUUUUCAAUACAAACACUACCCUAUGACAUCUGACAACUUGUUUGACAAGAAAGUUAAAAGUAUGCCAUCUUCUUUGUUAAAUAAAUAUGGAGAUGGUGAAACUAAAAAAGGGUUGUGACUUGUGAGGGGGUCUUGUGGCUAUCAGUGUUAGAGUUAUUUAUUUAGUAAUAUCAAGUAGCUUUAUUUAGUUACUAUUUAGUUUUGUUUAGUUACUAUUUUUCUUUCUUAUUUAAUUACUAUAUUAGAAUUAUUCUCUUUCUUUUUUAGGUUUUAUUAGGUCUAUUUAAAUCCUAAUAGAGUUGUAUCUUUUUUUUUUUCAAGAGAAUUCAUAAUGAGAAAUCCUAGAUUUUCUUUUCUCUCUCUCUUUUUUUUUUUUUUUUAAUCUUUUUUUGAAUUUCAACAACUAGUUAUUGAAUGUUUGCUAAUUUGUUACCAAUUUUAUUAAUUAACAAGUUUGGAGUAUAUGGGUAGGCUGUAGGCAUGACAUGUGAUUGUUGUCAUCAAUGAUGUGUGUAGAGAAGUGGACAUGUGAGGGUGAGAUUGUUCAUAGCUUCUAUCCUCCAAGAUGUCCAACCUAUGUAUGCAUACUAUUUUGAGAGGGAUAUUCUUUCCCCCUAAGAUAAGAAUAUACAUAUUUUUUAGUUGUUUGCAUUUAUAUACCUUCUUUUUUCUUUUACUUUUUCUUUAUAUAAUUUGUACAUGAAUUGUUGGACGUCAUUUGUUGUACCUCGGAGGGCUUUUUUGACUCUAUGCUAGUCAGGGGCAUCACAGAGUGACCUCCCUAGGAUUCGAACUUGGGUCCUUAGAUCUUUGUGUGGCCCUCUUGGUACCAUCUUGGCUACAUGAAUGACUAGCUAGUACUUUGGUUUAAUAUUUUGUCCUUUUGCAAGUUGAGCAUAGACUGCAAAACUAUUGUUAGAUCAAGGGUAUGAUUUGGGAGUUUUGGGGAGUGAUUAUAUGAGGUUGGGAAUAUUUUCUAAUAUUCCAAAAAGUUUUUUAUUGAAGGAAGUUCAGAGUUAAUUCCAAAUUUUCCAUUAAUGUAUUAUAUUUGGAAUCUACAAAUAAUAUUUGGUUCUCUCCACAUGAAUAUAUUUAGGCUUAUUAUUUAUGUUAUUUUUGGUCAAUUUUUAUCAUGAAAAUACUCGGGAAGACAUUGAGGAUGAAUUUGGAGAUGAAUGGAGGAUGAAAACUCGAAAAAGGGUGGGGGCAAAGGGGGAGGAGAUUGAUGGCAUUGUUCAAAACCCCGACAACCCAUAGGCGAUAGAGCAUCGACUCCUUGGGGGACCAUCAACACUAUUUAGACCUCAAAUGAUAAACCUCAACAAUCUAUCCUACAAUAGAGUAUUGGCUAAAAGAUAGUUGUCUAGCUCCUUGGCAUUGCACACCUUGGAGCCAUCCAAAUCCUUGGUAUCGAACGUCUUAUAGUCAUCUAUCUCCUUAAAGCUGCGUCCCUUGGAGUUGUAAGAAAUAGGUGAGUGUGUAUUAAGUUGUAAGGGCACUUUAGGCUUUGUAUUAGGGGUAUUUUGGUCCUUAAAAAGAGCAUGGCUGAGAUGGUGGAGCAUAUAAAUAAAAACAAGUAAAUGUUAGCUGAGUAUACUCUCCAAAUCCAUCAUCAAUACACAAAAAGCGCGGCAAGGCCAUGUAUUUCAGGAAUCGAAUUGAACACCAGUAAGUUUCUAUAAAUCCAAAAUUAAACCAUAAUUUUUCGACAUCACACAGAUCAUAAAAACGAAUAAAAAUCCGAAAUUCAGAAGCAGAUCGAGAAACCAUCCCCCAAAAACAUCGCAGACCAAAUCAAACCAAGCCAAUUUGCACAAAGAAGAGCACAAAGUCGAGAACCAAAAAUCAUCAAAUCAUUCCAGUAAAUAAAACACACAAAAUCAGAGCCAGACUGCGAAUCGAAAUCAACACGUGCACGGAUUACCAAAAAAAUACCGAAAUAAACAAAUACAAAAUUGGGGAUCUUGGAGAAGCGGGUAGGAUCGAGAGAUGCAGAGAAGAAAUCAGGGUUUGAAGAGUGAGGUUAGGGACUUACAGUGGGGGAUCCAGAAGCGGAUGAUGAAACAUGAGGUUGUUGAGGAAAAAAGCUAGGAGACAUAGAGAGAGAAAACCAUAAAUACAAUUUUUCAUCAUAAAAUAUAAAAUUCAUUCAAAUAUAAUAAAAAAUUAUCGAUUUUCCAUAAAUAAAAAUUUGUGCCAAAAUAUUAUAAAAACCAUUUAUCAUAAAUAAAUAUUAUGAUUAAAUAUGACUUUUAACUAUGAAAAUAGAACUUAUGUCAAAAUUUUAUGAAAAUAAAUUUGCCCGAAAAUAUGAUGUGGUUAAUUAUGAUUUUUUACUGUGAAUAUAAACUUCAUCUAUAAAGUAAUCUUAUUGCCAUAAAAAAUAAAAAUCAUUGCAAAAUCAUUACAACAAAAUAUGAAAUUUGUUGUAGUUAAUGCAAAGUUGAGAAAAAUUGAAAAUAUGAUGUUUUUUCAUAGAUGGAAGGAUACUUAUUGACAAACCAUUUUUCCAUGACUUGCAAAGUUGUUUCUAAGGAUCUUUAUUAAUGUCGUAGAAUAUCACUAGGAAAAUUUAGUGUGAAACUUACCAAACAACUAGUUUGGCAACAAAUUCAUCAAUGCAUUUAUCUAAACUUCCACUUUCAUCAACUGCUUUUGUGGCCAAAUUCUUCAAUUUCAUAGCAUUGUUUUCAAUCUCUUUUAAUCUAUUACUUCUUAUCACUUGCCCUAUGCAAUGCUCCACGACUCUUCUUCUCACAAUCCCUUUGUUAUCGGCUUGAACCCUUAAUCCUAUCCCCCAAACAUCUUCAACAAACUCGGUGUUGGUGGGUUGAUUAGUCCAUAGAGGGGCAACCACCAUUGGAACUCCCAAGUUGAGUGCCUCCAACUUGGAGUUCUAACUGCCAUGGGUGAGGAAGCAUUCUAUUGCCCUGUGGACUAAAACAUCCAGUCAAGGACAACAUGACACCACAAACCCUUUUCCGCUAUCUCCUCUUUGAACUUUUGAGGCAAUUUGGUCUACUCAGAUUCCCUAACCACCAUCAAGAAGUAGGCAUUACUCCUCCUUAAACUCUAAGCUACUUCCUCCAUUUGCUUGGGUUCUAGCCUCACGAAGGUCCCAUAUGAGGCGUAAACAAUGGAUCCAUUGGGCUUGUUGUCUAGCCAUUCCAUGCAAGCACUUGUGACUAACUUGAGCAUGAUAAGGCUAUAGUCUUUGUCAUCUCCAAGUCGUUUAUUUAAGUAAGUAGAGAGAAUGAUUGGGUUGAUCGUCUUGAGCAGACAAAUCUUCGCCAUCCAAUCCACCACCUAGGAAUUCAAUGACAAACUUAGAUCAAUAAAAUAGUAUCAAAUGCUUAAUUUGACCCAAAAGAUUAAGAAUCCAUUUUAUAGUGAUUUUAUGAAGUGUUUGUAAAUUUUUUAGAUUUUUUAUCAAAAGAUUACUCGAGUGUUGUUGCAAAUGAAUGUAGCUAUUGUAAGCAAAAAGGUCACUUAAAAGGCUCAAUGUUUGAUGAUCCCCCUAGAACAAUACAACACUAGUCUUCUCAACAGUCUCAGUAGAGUCAGUUUAAUACUAGCCAAUAAUGUUUUUACAAGCUACCAUAGUUUAAUACCACAAUAGUUGUUCCUCCAUCUGACUUGUUUGGAUUUGGAUCCACAUUAUCCUCUAAUCCCAUUGUAGUUUCUGUUGUUGAACAAUUCCAGAAACUUCUCACCACUCAACCACAUUUUAUGUCUAUCUCUUCAGGUUUGCCAACCACUAGUUCUUUAGGUAUGUCUUCUUCCAUAUGGGUCUUAGACUCCAUAGCUUCUCAUCAUAUGUCUCCUAAUUCCUUAUCUUUUGUUUAUUUAUCUCCUAUAUCUUUUAUGUCUAUCAUGAUUGUUGAUGACACUCUUUUACCCUUAGCCAGUAUUGAUUUUGUUAUCAUACCUCAUUUGUCUAUUCCUCAUGUCUAUCAUAUUCCUAAUCUUACAUGGAAUCUUGUCUUUAUUGGUCAAUUAUGUGACUCUAGUUACUUAGUUUCUUUUUCUUCUACUUCUUGUUUUGUUCAAGAUCCUUAAUCCUAGAAGUUGAUUGGGACAGGUUGUAGGCAAAGGGGAUUGUAUAUUCUAAAUGAGCUAAAAGUCUUAAUAGUUGUAGCUCCUAGUCUUGAUUUGUCUUCUUUUCAUUUGAGUCAUUUUUCAUCUAGUUUUUAUUUUUGGCAUUCUCAUUUAAGACAUGUUUCGACUUCUCGUUUAAAGUAUUUAGUUUCUACAGGAGCAUUAGGAAAUUUGUAAACACAAGAUAUUUCUAAUUGUAAUGGAUGUAAACCGACAAAAUUUUCCGCCUUACCUUUUAAUAGAAGUGUUUCCUCUUCUUUCAUCUAAUUUGAUUUAGUUCAUUCAGAUGUGUGGGGACAUUCUCCAAUUUCUAAAAAAGAAGGGUCUCGAUAUUAUAUUUCCUUUAUUGAUGAUUAUAUUGAUUAUUGUUGGGUUCAUCUUACGAAAUACCACUAUAAUUUUCGGAAUAUUUAUAAUGCAUUUCAAGUUUAUGUCAAAACUCAACAUUCUAUUGUUAUCGAGUGCUUUAGGUGUGAUUUGGAUGGGGAAUAUACUUUCAAUGCAUUUUGUGAAUUACUUGUUUCACAUGGAACUAUUCACCACACGUCUUGUAUUGACCCAAGUUUGAGAUUACAAGCUAUAUUUGUGACAUGUGGAGUUCCAUUAUAGAUUGUCCUACGUGGAUUUUUUGUGUGUGGUGGAAAAUACUAAAUAACAUCAAGGAAAAGAAUGUAGUUUUCACUUUUUCUCCAACGGGAAUGAGAAUGGGGUGGUUUGGGGUUAAGCCUUCCCAUCAAUCAUUUAUCUAUAUCUGUUUUCAUGUUUAUUAAAAAAAAAAAUUAAUUGGAUGGUACAAAUAUAAAAAAUUCUCAUACUCAUCCAUCAUUUUUUACUUUUAAAAUUUUAAAUUAUAUUAAAAAUAAAUAUAAUUUAUAAAUAAAUAGAUAUUAUAAAUUUUUAUAAUGUAUUUAUAUGAAAAGUAAAAUAUUAUAUAUAUAUAUAUAUAUAUAUAUAUAUAUAUAUAUAUUAAAAAGAUUGAAAAUUAAAACAAAUAAAUUAAAAUAAUUUUUAUCUAAUAUCUAGAUAAUAUUAUAUAUAAUCUAGAUGGAAUGGAACAAAAUCAUAUGGGCACCUAAUUUUUAAAAAAAUUCUAAAUUCAUUUAUAUUUAUUCAAAACUUAUCCUAUUAAUGUCAUGUGUUAGAGUCUUGAAAAAAAAAAAUGUUAAUUCUUGAUUAUUUUUAUGGUUCAAGUUAGUUGGAUUUGAAGGUUAACCUCUAAAACUCCUCUAUCAAUUCUAAUGUGUGUCAAAUCUAACAAAUGGUUGAAAUAAAGUGAAGUUUUCAAGUUUAAAAGAAAAUUUCCAAAGAAAGCUCAAGCACUAAGGAAAUACUCCAAAACAUGAAGUUUUGGAUCCCUUGAAGACUCAAGUAUUUAGAAAAAUAUUAUAAGAUGGUUUCCAUUGGUGCACUUAGGAUUAAACUCUUUAUUCAUGCACUUCAAAAAGCCUUUACAUCAUCCCUACCUAAGCUUCAAAAGGUUUUUAUCUUCAAAAUGGAGGAAUUUGUUUCUUAUUUCAAAACCUUAGGCUAAAUUCUUUUAGAAACCUACAAAUGUUUUAAAAUGAAUUGCUCAAGCUAUUGGAAAAUUAGGAGUGAGUUUGGAAGCUUUUUGGGCUAGUUUUUGCCCAAUCGCUCAACUCUGCUCAAAAACUUUUUUUCUCUUCCAGAAGCUUGAUGACACCAAUAAAGCCUUUGGUUUUCCUGAUUGAGGUUUGGUUAAGGGCUGGUCAAACUUUUAAAGAACCAAUAGUCACCUAUUGUGUAUUAAAUGUGUCAAUGACUAGUCAACUGGUCAAACUAGAACUUAGCUGUCAAGAGCAAAUUUUGUUGUUUCAGGUGUCUAAUAUUAUUUUCUAUAAAUUGAAAAGCAUCAUUGCAUUUAAUGAGAAAAUGCCACUUGUAUUUAAUUGUUUGCUACUCAUUUUAUCUCUUUCAAAAGUUCUUCAUUGAAGUGCAUUGAAUCCAAACUUGCAAAUCCUUUAGUGUACAAUUGAAUUCCAUCAUAGUAUAGUUUUGUAUUGUGAGCCAUCUUUAUAUUAGGAUUGUAAGCUGUCGAGUUGUAAAUUGGUUGUAAUUGAGUUGUAAAUAGAAUGGGAAAAUUAUUUUAAAAUCCCUUGAAUUGAAGGAUUAAGUUAGAUAGUUUUUUUAUUUAGGAAUAAGUUAGUUUCUUAUUAUGUCUCUUGUUUCCUAUUUCUUCUCUUAUAAUCUCCUAUAUAAAUUGUGUGUAUAGUCAAUCUAAAAUACAAAACUUAUUAUUUUUCAUCCCAUAUUUCGUGUCAUGGCAUCAGAGUAGUAGGUUUUUAAAAUCUCAACAUCAUUCUAGCCUUCAUCGCCAUUUUUCUAGCCUUCAUAACUGGAUUUUUUUUUUAUUCACGUUUCCUUUCUCUGCUUUGUUUUGCAAUAUUUUUUGAAGGCAAAACAGAGUAUUUCACAUGUUCUUUUACCAGCCUUCAUUGCUGUUGGUUUUUUGUUUCACAAUUUGUUUUAAUUCCCAAGAGAUUAGGUUUUUCGUGGAAGAUGCCGAAGGUUGCAGAGACGACUACUACAACACAAUUGGAGGAGAUUGUUCGAUCUCAACAACCCAGGGAAUUGCAAAACAUUCAGGCUGCAUAUAGGCUAGAUGGAAAAAAUUACUUUAAAUGGUCUCAACUUGUUCGCACUAUGCUGAAAGAGAAAUGAAAGAUCAACCAUCUUAUGGGUACAAGGCCAAAACCAGGAAAUCCCCGUUUUGAAGCAUGGGAUGAAGAAGAUUCUAUGAUUAUGACAUGGCUGUGGAAUUCUAUGAAUCCUAAGAUUAGCGACACAUGUAUGUUCUUGGCUACAACUAAGGAUAUUUGGGACACAAUCCAACAAACGUAUUCAAAAGCUAGAGAUACGACUCAAGUAUAUGAGGUUAAGGUGAAGACAAUUGCUGCAAAAUAGGGAAGUAAAACAGUUACUGAAUAUGCCAAUCAAUUGAAAGCUUUGUGGCAAGAACUUGAUCAUUAUAGGAUGAUAAAAACCAAAUGUCCUGAGAAUGCCACUGUUCUAAAGGAUUUCAUUGAACAAAAUAGAGUUUAUGAUUUUCUUGUUGGGCUUAACCUAGAAUUUGAUCAAGUGAGAAUCCAGAUUCUUGGCAAGCAAGAGGUUUCAUGAUUUAAUGAGGUGGUGGCACUGAUUCGAGGCGAGGAAAGCCGAAUGAGUGUUAUGCUUGAACCACAAACCUUGGAUGGAUCAGCCUUAGUUGCAAAAAAAAAAAAAAAAAAUUUAGAGUAAGGAAAGAAUGAUCUGCCUAAACACUUAGGUUUAGACAAUCAAUGGAAGGAGAACAAGGACAAUCUAUGAUGCACCUAUUGCAAGAAACCAAGGCACACAAAAGAGAAGUGUUGGAAGCUGAACGGUAAGCCACCAAGUUGUGAAUAGGGAAACCGUGGAAGGCAGCAAAUGCCUUAAUCACACAUGGCAGAGCAACCCAAAACUGAGGAAAAUUCAGUAACAGGCGGGUUCAAUAGUGAAGAAAUGGAGAAGCUGAGAAGCUUGUUGGGAUCCUUUAACAAAUCUACUAAAACUUGUUCUUUGGCUCUUUCAGGUACGCCUUCAUUCUCUUUUUGCAUAAAUGCCUCACACAGGGUUUAUGAUGACUCUUGGAUAAUAGACUUCGAUACCACAAACCAUAUGACCUCCAAAUCUCAACUUUUCCAUACCUAUUCCCCAAGCCCAAGUAACAAGAAAAUUGCAGUGGCCAAUAGCUCUUUAGCUACCGUUGCAAGUUUCAGAGACAUAUACAUCACACCUAUCCUUAUUGUUAAAAAUGUCCUCCAUGUACCAAAAUUGUAGGCCAACCUUGUUUUCAUUCAAAAGGUUACUCAUGAUCUUAAAUGUUAUACUAUUUUUUUCCCUUCUUAUUGUGUUUUUCAAGAAUAAAGCUCGAGGAGGAGGAUUGGACUUGCUAAGGAAAGGAGCGGUCUUUACCACCUUGAAUCAUCUCAGAAAACUAGUAAUAAUUUGUCGUUGUCUUUUAUCAGUUCCUCAAAUAAAGAUACCAUUUGGUUGUAUCACUUACGUCUAGGUCAUCCAUUUUUUAGGGUUUUAAAUGUCAUGUUUCCUCAUUUGUUCCAAGGAUUAAAUAUUUCUAAGUUUCAUUGCAAAACUUGUGAAUUGGAAAAACAUUCUCGUGUAUCUUUUCCUAUUAGCAAUAAAAGAAGUUCUCAUCAUUUUCAUUUGAUUCAUAAUGACAUAUGGGGUCCUUCAACUGUACCUAGUGUUUUUAGGGCUCGUUGGUUUGUAUCCUUAAUUGAUGACUGGGGUUACAUGGAUCUUUCUUCUUAAACAAAAAUAUGAUGUUAGCAUUGUUAUACCUAAUUUUCACUCAAUGGUUCAAAACCAAUUUGGGGUCAAAAUAAAAAGCUUUAAGACAGACAAUACUAGAAAUUACUUCAACCAGAUUUUGUCACCCUAUUUUCAAUCAUAGGUCAUUCUCCAUGACUCAUCAUGUGUUAACAUAUCCCAACAAAAUGGGGUAGCCGAGAGGAAAAAUGGGCAUUUACUCAACACAACUCAAGCCUUACUCUUUCAAGGGAAUGUUCCUAAGUCCUAUUGGGGGGAAGUUGUUCUUACUGCCACAUACAUGAUAAAUAGAAUUCUCUCACGAGUGUUAGACAACAAAAGCCCCGUAUAGAUACUUAAGAGUUUCUAUCCACACUUCAUAACCUCAAAUGGGCUUACUCCUAGGGCAUUUGGGUGCACUACAUUUGUUCAUGUCCAUAGCCAACAUAGAGACAAGCUAGACCCUCGAGCCAUAAAAUGUGUCUUCCUUGGUUACUCAUCCACUCAAAAAGGAUACAAGUGUUACAAUCCCUCAGCUAGAAAAUUAUACAUCUCUAUAGAUGUCACCUUCACAAAAAAUAAACAUUUUUUCUCCAAGUCCUCUCUUCAAGGGGAGAUUUCAAUAAUGGAAUAUAGUCCUUGUGAGUCCUUUGAACCUCUUGACCUUCCUCAUGUCUCAACCCAUGGUGAUGAAAAACCUGAGUCACCCAAUUUUCCCACUAAAUCUGUGUCAUCCCCUGUUCCAGCCAAUGUCACUCGCAAUUUUCCACAAUUUCCUAAGAUGUAUUCAAGGGAAAAGGUCAUUCCAGAACAAAAGUAGGUCCAAGAAUCCAACUUAGACCCUAGGAAUGAAAUCACGGUAAGAUCAGAUCCAUCUUUACAUACACAACCUGGUGAAACUUCCACUGACUCAACAGAUAACCUAAACCUAAACCUUCCCAUUGUUGUCAGAAAAUGCACCGGAGAAUGCACUAACUGACCACUCUAUCCACUAUCACACUAUGUGUCUCUUAAGCACCUAUCACCAGCCCAUAAGAAUUUCAUUGUGAGUCUAAACACCACUAUCAUCCCUAACAUUGUUUCUGAGGCAUUGACAAAAAAAUAAUGGAAGGAUGCUAUGAGAGAGGAUAUGAGUGCAUUAGAAAAUAAUAAAACAUGAGAGUGUGUUGAAAGACUAAAAGGGAAAAAAACAUUGUUGAUUGCAAGAUUUUCAUGUUGAAAUAUAAGGCUGAUGGAUAUCUUGAGAGACAUAAAGCAAGAUUGGUAACUAAAAGGUACACUCAAACUUAUGGAGUUGAUUAUUAGGAGACUUUUGCUCCAGUUGUAAAAAUGAAUAUUGUAAGAAUCCUAUUAUCACUGGUUGCCCACUACAAUUGACAACUCCUACAGUAUGAUGUUAAGAAUGCAUUUCUUCAUGUUGAUUUAGAUGAAGAGAUUUACAUGAACAUCCCACCGGGAUUUGAGGAAAACAUAGGUAACAAGGUGUGCAAGCUGGAAAAGGCCCUUUAUGAGCUAAAAUAAUAUCCUAGAGUUUGGUUUGGGAGAUUUGAAAAAGUCAUGAAAGAGUCUGGGUACAAACAAAGCCAAGAUGACCACACUCUCUUCAUUAAGCACUUGGCUGCAGGGGGAAUAACUGCUCUUCUAGUCCAUGUUGACGACAUCAUAGUGACUGGAAAUGAUGAGAGAGAAAAGUAUGAAGUGAAACAAAGAUUAGUAACAGAGUUAAAGAUAAAGGAAUUAGGGAAAUUGAAGUACUUCCUCGGGAUUGAGGUGACAUAUUCCACACAAGGGAUCUUCAUCUCUCAACAAAAGUAUAUGACUGAUUUAUUGACAGAAGUAGAGAAGAUUGGGUGUAAACUAGUCUCUACCCCAAUGGAUCCAAACCACAAUUUAGGAGAAGCUCAAGAAGAACCAGUGAUGGAUAAAAGAAUGUACCAGAGGCUGGUUGGUAGGCUCAUAUACCUUGCUCACACUCAGCCAGACAUCGCCUACUCGGUGAGCGUGAUCAGUUAAUUUAUGCAUGAUCUAAGAUAACCUCAUCUUCAAGCUGCUUAUAGGGUGCUGCAUUACUUGAAAGAUAACCCAAGAAAGGAAUUUUGUUCAAGAAGAACAAUACUCUUGCUUUAGAAGCAUACACCGACGCUGACUAUGUAGAUUCCCUAGUGGAUCGAAGAUCAACUAUAGGGUAUUGUACUUUUCUUGGAGGUAAUCUAGUAACAUUGAGAAGUAAAAAGCAGAAUGUGGUAGCAAGGUCAUCUGCAGAAUUAGAGUUUAAGGCCAUUGCUCAAGGAUUGUGUGAAAUACUUUGGCUAAAGAUUAUUUUAGAUGAUUUGAGAAUCAAGUAGGAUGGUCCUAUGAAGCUCUAUUGUGACAACAAGUCAGCUAUCAAUAUUGCUCAUAACCCUAUACAACACGAUAGGAUAAAACAUAUUGAGAUUGAUAGGCAUUUCAUCAAAGAAAAAUUAGAGGAAGGAGUAGUGUGUAUGUCCUAUGCUCCAUCAGAAUAUCAAUUAGUUGAUAUCUUAACAAAAUGGCUGAACAGUUCAACGUUUCACGAUCUUGUAUUCAAGCUAGGAAUGGAAGACAUAUAUUCCUCAGCUUGAGGAGGAGUGUCGAGCUAUAAAUAGGUUGUAAUUGAACUGUAAAUAGAAUAGAAGAAUUAUUUUUAAAUCCCUUAAAUUGAGGGAUUCAGUUAGAUAGUUUUCUGAUUUAGGAAUAAGUUAGUUUCCUAUUAUGUCUCUUGUUUCCUAUUUCUUCUAUUGUAAUAUCCUACAUAAAUUGUGUGUAUAAUCAAUCUAAAAUACAUAACUAAUUAUUUUUCAUUCCAUAUUUCGUGUCAUAAGCAUUAAAAAUACUUCUACCAAUUUAUUCUUGAGUGAGAUAGACUUUAAGUUGGUGAAGAACUUCAAGGAAGUGUAGUGCCCAUUAGAGCUAUGAAUCUAAGUGAACAUGAUUAAAGAUUUGGUUUUGAAGCCUUAGUUAGUAAAUCCCUCACUUAGAAAAAGAUUAAGGAGAGUGAAUGUAGGCAGGAUUGUUGAACCACAAUAAAUCCAUUUGCAUCUUUCUUCCUUUAAUUCUUUAUUUAUUUGCUUUAAUUGUUGCUUGUUUACUGUUUUAGUUUUUCAAUUUUGAAAAGUUUUUAAUAACCCAAUUCACCCCACCCCCACCCCCUUCCUUUUAGGUGUUUGAAUGAAUUAGUUAGCCUUAUUGUAUAAUAGUUUAACUUAAAAUUUACUUCAUCCAUUUUUUUUUCAAUUGUCAUGAAGCUCAUGUUGGUCAUGAAAAAACUUAUGUCGAAUAGGGUAACACCAAAGGUGGUUAAAUGGGUGACCUUUUAAAGAUUAUAAUAUAAUGAUUAACAAACUUAACCUAAAUAAGUUUUGUGAGAUGAAUUUAUCCUAUUUUAAAUUGACCUAAUCUUGUGAGAUAAUAUGAAAAAUCAAUACAAAUACAAUCACAUAAUGGACAAAGGAUUUUUACGUGGAAAACCCACACACUAAUUGUGGAAAUAAAAAACUAUAAGGUCUAAGACCUCUAAUUCACUAAUCCACUAUAUAAGAACAAGGUAAAUAGAUUUGUUUGGCAGCAUUACCCUAAAGACUUACUCUUCAACACUUAUACCUUAACCCAUAUCUGUGACGCAACACCUCUAAUGCUUCAAUGGAUUUACCUCAGCCUCUGAGAGGAUGUAGGUCCUUAGCAACCCAAAAUUCAAAGUGAUAAAUCCUUGUUGAGAGUUUGGGAAUGUUAAGGCAAGUUGGGUUGAUUAUCUCAAAAUGUCCAACCCUAAAAUGGGUUUAUAUAGGUUCUUAGACCUAAGGAAUUGAUAACUAGAAUUUUUCCUAAAAGAAUAAUUGUGAAAGUCCAUAAAAGAAAUCUACCAAAUUCUAGUAGAUUCAGAAGGGCCACUCAAGCUCAUUUAACCAUUGCUCGAGCGCCUUAAGCACUUGAGUGGUGCCACUGUUUGAGUGUCCUUUGUUUUUCCAGAACAAGAAUGAAUGCAUUUUAGUUUUUAAAAAAAUAAUGAAUCCACUCUAAGCCUCAAGCACCUUACUUGCCACUAAACAAACCUUUUUAAACUUACCUAUAACUUUCUGAUUGAGCAAUCAACAACCUGAAAUCUUCAGUUGAGAGUAAGUCACUAUCUAAAAACUUUCCUAUGUCAAGAUGAAUAGAAACAAAAUCGCCAACAAACAAGGUACAUGACUCAAUAUCCUAACAAGUCACUCCAUCUUCAUAUUCCUCUUUGGUUGAUUCUUCACUAUCAUAUAAAUUUGGGGGAAUGAUCUUGGAUUUUCUUGGAAAGAGAAUCCAUUGUAAUCAAUUGUUGAUUUGUUGAUUUGUUUUCUCUAUUUUAAUCAAUUGUUUCUAAUUUCUUUUAUUCAAUAAUGGUCUUUUAUUCUUCUUUUAUUGUUUAUGUGAAUGAAAUCACGACCAUGAGGAGCUAAAAAACUAUCUUAGGGCAUGAAACAUGAAAACCUAGGGUUAGAGCCAAAGGAAAAUAAUGGGUAAAAUCGAACUAAAAAUUAAAUGAAUUAUGGAUUGAGACAUUAUAGUUGAAAACAGAAAUAUCCUUUAAUGUUUGUUUGAAUUAGAGAAUGAUACAAUAACUCAUUUUUUGAUACUAGGGAGUUUUGGUAAUUCUUGAUCCCUAGUUAUUUGAGGUUUUGCUAUUAUUAUCUACCCUAAGACAAAUCUAUAUAAAGUGGUAAAUGCCCAAAUCCUAUACCUAAACUCAAUUUUCAUACCCAUUUAUCUAUUUGGUAUUUCAAUAAUAGAAUAAAAUAUUAAAAGUUAUGAUACAGAUGCAACCCUGAGUUAUGGAACUCAAGUUGAUCUUGUUUGACUCCACAUUCUGAAUACCCUAAGGUUAACUAAAAUUGAUACCCUUGUUUUGCCUGAGACCCUAUACCCAAAGUUGGAUUGUAGAACCCCUAGUCUUGAAUCAUUUGAAUUAGAAAUUAAUAUUUUUAUUUUUUACAAUUUAAUUAGAUAUAUUUUAAUAGAUUCAAUUUUAUUCAAAUUAAUUUUACACAUUCUUAGUUCAAGAAAUCAAGUAAAAAACAAUCAUUUAGAUAUAGUUUGACAACUUUCAUAGGUCAAUCCUUUAGAACGAUACCCGAAAUACUACAAAAGUCAUAAUGACUCUUUCUCUAGAUUUUCUUGGCUAUGGUUGCUAUAUAAUCUAGGCAUAGUAUUUUGGACAACAGAGAAUCAUGGUCACUAUUACACUUAGACUUUUAAUCCUAAGGAACCUUUAACAAAACUCAAGAAAUGUCUCACUCUUAAAUGAUCCUUCAUUGAUACCUUACCCUUAAGAUAACCCUUCAAGUGAUUCCACACAUUUGAUAAUCCCUAUGUGAUGCCUCACACAUAGAGUUUUCCAUUAAGUGACAUCUCAUAGUUAAGAUCACCCUCAUAAGGUUAAAAGAAUUUGAUUUAUUUUUUUGAAAAAGAUAAGGCACCUAAUUACAACAUUUUGACUCAAGGAUACAAAUGAAACUAGGAUCAAAAUAAUUAAAAUAAAUAAGUUUAAGAACAAAGUGCAAUCAAAAUACUUGCAAAGGGUUAAAGGAUUUUUCAACAAAUGUUUAGAACAUUCUCCCAUUAACCUGUCGGCCGACUAGUUUAGGCUUUGCCUUAACUGGUAGAUAUUGCCAAGAAUAUUAGAGUUCAAAAUCCCUUGACUAAUCAACUUAUAGGGUGAUUUGUUGACCCAAUUUUUAAGAUUUUGUGAAAAACUAUCUCCCAUCUUAGUCAAUGGCUCCCCACAGGGUUUUUUUUUCUUGUAAUUGAGGUGUAAGGCAAGGUUUGGAACCGUCUCUUAUUCUGCCUUGCUGAAGAAGUGCUCAAGGAUUGACUACCCUUUACAACAUAGGAAGUCUUAAGCCUACUUCAAUUCCAAGAAGGUGUUCCCUUACAUAAUAUACUAAUGACACUUUUAUCUUUUGUAGGGAGAAAUUCUACAACUUUGACCAACCUUAAUAAUUUUUUAGAGUUGUAUGGUUAAUAGUUGGGUCAGAUUGUCAAUAAAGAAAAAACUUUAUUUUUGCUCAAAAACAUUAGAAAAAACUAACUAAAUAAACUCCUUAUGAUUUUGAAAACCUUUUAAACAUUCAUUAUAUAAAUCAAAGGUGGUUUUCAAUUAAGAAAACAUUUUAUCCAAUUUUGAAAAGAUUAAGGACAAGUUUGAGUUCAAUUAGAUGAGUUUUGGUGCUUUAAAUAAAUAAUAUGCAAUUCUAAUUUGGUGUACUCAUAAUUUUACAUUAAAAUAACCUAAAAAUGAUCUUGGUAAACCUUCUUGAAGUACCCUUUGAUCUCCUUAAUUUUUUGAUAAGAAUUUUGUAUUGAUUUCCUCUUUUGCUCCAUAUAUCUUUUCUUUCAUUGCUCUAAGGAAAUCUUCUUAGCUGUCACACUCAAAAUUAAGUAUUAGAUCAAAUCUUUGUUUUAAACUUCAGUCUAACAAUAAAGGCUUGUUCGAAAAAUGCAUUUUUUUUUUCAUUUUUCUAGUUUCAAGGUCGUUAUUAAUAAUCUUGUGUUUGAUUGAAUUUAAUUGGAAGAUUGAUCACUUGAUCACAAAUUAUUAAUAUGCCAAACCGUCUAUUGUUUACAAAAAUAAAUCAAAAAUAAAAAUAGGUCAAUAAUAUAUAUUAAAUUAUGCAAAAAUUAAAACUACUCAUUUAUGUUUCAUGAAAGAAAAAAUGUUUUUAAGUAAUUCAAGUUCAUUGUUAGAUAUGUAUACUUUAUUUUUAUUUAUUUCAGGUAUAUCAAUACAAUAAUUUCUUGAUUACAAGCAUUUCAUUAAAAGAAUGCAGUAAUUUUGAUCGUAGUUUAGUUUCUUAUAGUAAAAAAAGAAAAAAUAUUAGAAUUUUUUUUAUAAAAAUUUAAGAUCAUGACACAUGUUCACAACAUACUUUUUUUAUACUCCACACCAACUUAUUCCAAAUAAGUCUUAAUCUCAAUGAUAAUAAUAAUGAUUCAAUCUUAAUCAUUACAUAAAAAUAAUGCUAUUAUUAAUUCAAUCUUAAUUGGUAAAUAAAAUAUAGAAGAUAAAUGUUGCAAUAUUGGUAUUGUUGUGCAUGUUCAUUUCUUAUUGAAAAAGAAUGAGAGAUGGCACCAAAUAUUCAAGUACUACUACCCCAACAACAUAAUUGGCUCCACCAUCCAAAUCAUUUAUUUUAUUUAUUUGUUUUUGGAUAGAAUCAACUUGAAUGUGUUGAUAUAUGUCCUUUUCACUUUGGCUCCUCCUCUUAAUGGUUUUAUAUUUUAUGUCAAUUCAGAAAGCUCUCUCUCUCUCUCUCUCUCUCUCUCUCUCUCUCUCUCUCUCUCGCUCGCUUUAGGAAAGUAUGAGUAAAGUUGGUUGGGAAGAGUUUUUCAAAAGCUAAAAGCUAAAUGAGUAGUAUUCAAUUCAAUUAUUAGUCUAAAAAUUUAAAAUUUAAAUUUUUAUAAGUUCUUUUAUUAGGAUGCUAACAAUAAAUUAAUUUAAGAAUUUCUGAUUACAUAAAUAGACAAAUAAUUUACACGAAAAACCAUUCAUAAAAUCUCUUAAAAACCUUACAAAUGUAUAACCAUAUGAUUGAAUAAAUAUUUAGAUUUAUCUAAACACUCGCAUAUUCUCCCUAAACUUACACUUUCAAAACCUUUAUUAAUCUUCAUGCCCGUGAUAUAGUAUUUUAACGUUUCUUAAUAUACUUCUCAAUGCUUUGAGAGGAUGUAAUCUACCACCAUGAAUUUAACUUAAUGAAUAAAAAUUAAUGUUUUUGGGAAUCUUAGUAAAAUUGAAAUAAGAGAAAAUUAAUAAUAUGGCUUCUCUUGUCCAAAUUUUUGGUGAUAACUGAACAUUUAUAACCACAAUUUUCCCAGAAAGUAAGAGAAAAUUAAUGUGCAUGGGUCGGGAUGCAAACUUGACAGAAAUUGUUUCUAAGAAUCUUUAUUGUGGUAGAAUAUCACUAGGAAAAUUCAGAGUGAAAGUUACCAUGCAACUAGUUUAGCCACAAACUCGUCAAUGCAUUUAUCUGAACUUCCACCUUCAUCAACUGCUUCCCUGGCCAAAUUCUUCCAUUUCAUGGCAUUACUUCUAAUCCCUUUUAAUCUAUCACUUCCCAUCACUUCCCCUAUGCAAUGCUCCAGGACUUCUCUUCUCACAAUCCCCUUGUCGUCCGCUCAAGCUCUUAAUCCUAUCCCCCAAACAUCUUCAACAAACUUGGCGUUGGUGGGUUGAUCAGUAAAUAGAGGGGCAACCACCAUUGGAACUCCCAGGCUGAGUGCCUCCAGAGUGGAGUUCCAACCGCCAUGGGUGAGGAAGCAUCCUAUCGCCCUGUGUGCCAAAACCUCCAAUUGUUGACACCAUGACACCACCAGGCCCUUUUCCUCUGUCUCCUCCUUGAAGUUUUGAGGCAGUUUGGCC